GAUGAACGCUGACAGAAUGCUUAACACAUGCAAGUCUUUGGCGAAGCUGUGCUUGCACAGCCUAGCCAAGGCGGACGGGUGAGUAACGCGUAAGGAACUUGCCCUGCAGUCAGGGAUAACAGACGGAAACGACUGAUAAGACCUGGUAAAGUCAGGCGGACUCAUGUCCAGCCUGAUGAAAAGAGAUGCUGCAGGAGAGCCUUGCGUCCUAUUAGCUUGUUGGUGGGGUAACGGCCCACCAAGGCGAUGAUAGGUAGCCGGCCUGAGAGGGUGGACGGCCACAAGGGGACUGAGAUACGGCCCUUACUCCUACGGGAGGCAGCAGUGGGGAGUAUUGGACAAUGGGGGCAACCCUGAUCCAGCAAUUCUGUGUGCACGAUGAAGGUUUUCGGAUUGUAAAGUGCUUCCAGCAGGGAAGAAAAAAAUGACGGUACCUGCAGAAGAAGCGACGGCUAAAUACGUG
Molecule: ribosomal RNA, 463 nt
Filed under: uncultured bacterium
Lineage: Bacteria
Description: partial 16S ribosomal RNA
Rfam family: Bacterial small subunit ribosomal RNA
Source: RNAcentral